Molecule: ribosomal RNA, 852 nt
Filed under: uncultured bacterium
Lineage: Bacteria
Description: bacterial SSU rRNA
Rfam family: Bacterial small subunit ribosomal RNA
Source: RNAcentral
AGCAAGCACCGGCUAACUCCGUGCCAGCAGCCGCGGUAAUACGGGGGGUGCAAGCGUUACUCGGAAUCACUGGGCGUAAAGAGCAUGUAGGCUGAUUAGUAAGUUGGAAGUGAAAUCCUAUGGCUCAACCAUAGAACUGCUUCCAAAACUGCUUAUCUAGAGUAUGGGAGAGGUAGAUGGAAUUUCUGGUGUAGGGGUAAAAUCCGUAGAGAUCAGAAGGAAUACCGAUUGCGAAGGCGACCUACUGGAACAUUACUGACGCUGAGAUGCGAAAGCGUGGGGAGCAAACAGGAUUAGAUACCCUGGUAGUCCACGCCCUAAACGAUGCACACUAGUUGUUGCUAUGCUAGACAUAGCAGUAAUGCAGUUAACACAGUAAGUGUGCCGCCUGGGGAGUACGGUCGCAAGAUUAAAACUCAAAGGAAUAGACGGGGACCCGCACAAGCGGUGGAGCAUGUGGUUUAAUUCGACGAUACGCGAAGAACCUUACCUGGCCUUGACAUAGUAAGAAUCUAAUAGAGAUAUAAGAGUGCUAGUUUACUAGAGCUUACAUACAGGUGCUGCACGGCUGUCGUCAGCUCGUGUCGUGAGAUGUUGGGUUAAGUCCCGCAACGAGCGCAACCCUCGUGUUUAGUUACUAACAGUUCGGCUGAGGACUCUAGACAGACUGCCUGGGUAACCAGGAGGAAGGUGAGGACGACGUCAAGUCAUCAUGGCCCUUACGGCCAGGGCUACACACGUGCUACAAUGGGGUAUACAAAGAGCCGCGAUACCGUGAGGUGGAGCAAAUCUCAUAAAAUAUCUCCCAGUUCGGAUUGAAGUCUGCAACUCGACUUCAUGAAGUUGGAAUCG